RNAcentral lists this ribosomal RNA (468 nucleotides) under uncultured bacterium. RNAcentral describes it as "partial 16S ribosomal RNA". It matches the Rfam family "Bacterial small subunit ribosomal RNA", at positions 28 to 507 of the family's 1533-position model. The record is from RNAcentral.
GACGAACGCUGGCGGCGUGCUUAACACAUGCAAGUCGAACGGUGAAGCUCCAGCUUGCUGGAGUGGAUCAGUGGCGAACGGGUGAGUAACACGUGAGCAACCUGCCCCAGACUCUGGAAUAAGCGCUGGAAACGGCGUCUAAUACUGGAUACGAGAUCAAGCCGCAUGGUUAUGGUCUGGAAAGUUUUUCGGUUUGGGAUGGGCUCGCGGCCUAUCAGCUUGUUGGUGAGGUAAUGGCUCACCAAGGCGACGACGGGUAGCCGGCCUGAGAGGGCGACCGGCCACACGGGGACUGAGACACGGCCCAGACUCCUACGGGAGGCAGCAGUGGGGAAUAUUGCACAAUGGGCGAAAGCCUGAUGCAGCGACGCCGCGUGAGGGAUGACGGCCUUCGGGUUGUAAACCUCUUUCAGCAGGGAAGAAGCGAAAGUGACGGUACCUGCAGAAGAAGCACCGGCUAACUACGUG